Molecule: long non-coding RNA, 1409 nt
Organism: Triplophysa rosa
Lineage: Eukaryota; Metazoa; Chordata; Actinopteri; Cypriniformes; Nemacheilidae
Exons: 3
Source: RefSeq, a predicted model, not a curated record
UCAUUGUAUGGAAAAGAGACACCAGUACAUUCUUCAGCAUUAUUCGUGUCCCAUGAAAGAAAUGCCACGCAGUUUCGGAAUGACGUGAGGGUGAGUAAAUCAUGACAGAAUUUUUAUUUCUGGGUGAACUAUUUCUUUAACAUUCUGUCAGCUUUAUAUGAUGAAGGAAAGCGAGACAGGAGAGACAAGACGACGGGAAAAGGGAAACAAGUACAGAGAAAGGUUUACCGGUGCUGCGCAAGACCAACUCAUUCUCCUUGUCAGAUAGAGGGCAGCGUUGCUAAAACCAAACGUCUAUUCCCACGGCCUCCCUGUCGCUCCUGUUCCAUCUCUCCCAUCUGCUGAGGAUCUAAUGCAUGAUUAGACCCGACAGGAGAGAAACAAAAGGAGAGGGGAAGCUAACAGAAGGAGGCACAACAAUUAGCACACAAGCAAGGUCUUGUUUGUGAGGGUCAGGGAGAGGUGGUGAGGUUAUAGUGAGGUCGGCACAUUCAAUGCAGCACCAACUGCCCCUCCCUCCCUCUUCUGUGUCACAUCCAUCUCUCCUCUCGUCUCUCUCCUCCCCCUGUUCCUUCAGACAGCUCUGAAGAGCCACAGAUGCCGGUCCCCUCUGUUUUCAGCAAUUCGUCUUCAGGAGGGGCGACACACAGAGGCUUGUCGGACGGAGAGGAUGAAAUACGGCUCCCUCUACCUUCCCUCACAAUACGGCCAAACAAUAAACACUGCUUGUGUACACAUAUCAUGGCAGGCUAAUGUGGCCAUAAAUACCGAUACAGACACUCCCUCUCGUAAUGUCUCUCUUUCCUAAAUGCAGACACACAAACAUCACAGAAAUCACAGUAUGUAGUUGUUAUAUUGGCUGUUAUGUGCCAUUCAUGUGCCAAUUUUGAUUUAUUUUGCCUAUAAAUGUCACGGGGCGUACAUUGAAAACAUAAUUCUGUGACUGAACUUGUUUGAAUUGUGGGUUUGACACAGGGUUAGUUUUCACAGAAAUGAAAAUAUCAUUGUUUACACUGACUUACUCCAAACCUGUAUGACGUUUUAUCUUCCAUGGGUAAAGAAAUGUUAAAGAAUUUUAGCACUGAUCUUUUAACAAACAAUGAAAGUGAAUGAAUGUGGUGUGGAUGUUGUGUUUCUUAGACCAGUAGUUCUCAAACUGGGGGCCGUGGCCCCUGGAGAGGCCCCGAGAUGGAUCCAGGGGGGGCACAGAUUUUGUGGCAUUUUAUGAAAUAUAGAAAUUGAUCAUAGAUUUUAUGCAAUCAAACAUCAGAAAAAUAAGACCACCAGACAAAAGAAUUGAUGUUUCAGCAUUGUAUAACCGAAUAUGUUUUUGUUUAAAUAAAAAUGUUAAAUUUAAGAUUAUAAGUCUUUAUUUGGGGGGCCGCAAAGCGAUGCACUCUACACAAAGG